RNAcentral lists this ribosomal RNA (369 nucleotides) under uncultured phototrophic eukaryote. Its description in RNAcentral is "SSU rRNA". It matches the Rfam family "Bacterial small subunit ribosomal RNA", at positions 524 to 896 of the family's 1533-position model. The record is from RNAcentral.
UACGGGGGAUGCAAGCGUUAUCCGGAAUCAUUGGGCGUAAAGCGCCUGUAGGUUGUUUAAUAAGUCCGUUGUUAAAGACUAGGGCUCAACCCUAGAGCAGCAAUGGAAACUACUAGACUAGAGUAUGGCAGGGGUAGAGGGAAUUUCUAGUGUAGCGGUGAAAUGCGUAGAUAUUAGAAAGAACACCGGCGGCGAAAGCGCUCUACUGGACCAUUACUGACACUCAGAGGCGAAAGCUAGGGUAGCAAAAGGGAUUAGAUACCCCUGUAGUCCUAGCCGUAAACGAUGGAUACUAGAUGUUGCAUGUAAUGUGCAGUAUCCUAGCUAACGCGUUAAGUAUCCCGCCUGGGGAGUACGCUCGCAAGGGUG